AUUGAACGCUGGCGGCAGGCCUAACACAUGCAAGUCGAACGAGUGGCGGACGGGUGAGUAAUGUCUGGGCAACUGCCUGAUCGAGGGGGAUAACUACUGGAAACGGUAGCUAAUACCGCAUACCAUCGGAUGUGCCCAGAUGGGAUUAGCUAGUAGGGGGGGUAAAGGCUCACCUAGGCGACGAUCCCUAGCUGGUCUGAGAGGAUGACCAGCCACACUGGAACUGAGACACGGUCCAGACUCCAACGGUGGGCAGCAGUGGGGAAUAUUGCACAAUGGGCGAAAGCCUGAUGCAGACAUGCCGCGUGAAUGAAGAGGGCCUUCGGGUUGUAAAGUACUUUCAGCGGGGAGGCGUUACCCGCAGAAGAAGCACCGGCUAACUCCGUGCCAGCAGCCGCGGUAAUUC
RNAcentral lists this ribosomal RNA (406 nucleotides) under uncultured bacterium. Its description in RNAcentral is "partial 16S ribosomal RNA". It matches the Rfam family "Bacterial small subunit ribosomal RNA", at positions 30 to 526 of the family's 1533-position model. The record is from RNAcentral.